AGAAAGGAAGAAUAUAGCUUAUUGUAUGUAAUCAGGUUCCUCAUUGGGUUAAAUGAGAAUUUUGUUGUAUUUAGGUCACAAAUAUUACUCAUGGAUCCAUUACCACCUAUGGACAAGAUAUUUUCAACGUCGUUCCAUUUUGAAUGACAAGAGUAAUUAUCAUUCUUUGUAUAUAAAAGUCCCACUUUAAACUCUUGGAUGAUAGAUUCGGGAGUUAGUAAUCAUAUAUGCUCCUCAAAUUCUUAGUUUCAUUCUUACAAUGCAAUGAAUCUAAUCAAUGUUAAAUUGCGUAAUCGACUAUUUGCA
RNAcentral lists this long non-coding RNA (306 nucleotides) under Lathyrus oleraceus (garden pea). Its description in RNAcentral is "Pisum sativum (pea) long non-coding RNA (PSAT_LNC023125)". Lineage: Eukaryota; Viridiplantae; Streptophyta; Magnoliopsida; Fabales; Fabaceae. The record is from RNAcentral.